Long non-coding RNA from Cornus florida, 227 nucleotides. RefSeq lists it as uncharacterized. The record is from RefSeq and is a predicted model, not a curated record. The transcript has 3 exons. NCBI's taxonomy places the organism in Eukaryota, Viridiplantae, Streptophyta, Magnoliopsida, Cornales, Cornaceae.
UAAAUGAUAUUUUCCUCACAAGAAAAGAGAUGAGAACAAUCUCUUACAAUCAUUGGAUAUCAAAUAUGGUGGUUGAAGUCUAUUGCCAAAUGCUCCAGCUGAAACAAAAGCGUAGAGGAACCAAAUUUUUCUUUCCGCCUUCGAUUGGGAUUGAACUUUCCAAGAUACCUUCAAAAGUGGUUGAUAGGAAAGGUAAAAUACAAGCAGUUUGGAACAAGUAUAAAAGG